GUGGAUUAGAUACCCUGGUAGUCCACGCCCUAAACGAUGUCAACUAGGUGUUGGGUGGGUAAAACCAUUUAGUACCGUAGCUAACGCGUGAAGUUGACCGCCUGGGGAGUACGGCCGCAAGGUUAAAACUCAAAGGAAUUGACGGGGACCCGCACAAGCGGUGGAUGAUGUGGAUUAAUUCGAUGCAACGCGAAAAACCUUACCUACCCUUGACAUGUCCAGAAGCUCUUAGAGAUUUGAGUGUGCCCGAAAGGGAGCUGGAACACAGGUGCUGCACGGCCGUCGACAACU
Molecule: ribosomal RNA, 291 nt
Filed under: uncultured bacterium
Lineage: Bacteria
Description: partial 16S ribosomal RNA
Rfam family: Bacterial small subunit ribosomal RNA
Source: RNAcentral